UGUGUGUCUGUGUGUGUCUGUGUGUGUCUGUGUGUGUCUGUGUGUGUGUGUGUCUGUCUGUGUGUGUGUGUGUGUGUGUGUGUGUGUGUGUGUGUGUGUGUGUGUGUGUGUGUGUGUGUGUGUGUGUGUGUCUGUGUGUGUCUGUGUGUGUGUGUCUGUGUGUGUGUGUGUGUGUGUGUGUGUGUGUGUGUGUGUGUGUGUGUGUGUGUGUGUGUGUGUGUGUGUGUGUGUGUGUGUGUGUGUGUGUGUGUGUGUGUGUGUGUGUGUGUGUGUGUGUGUGUGUGUGUGUGAGAGAGAGAGAGUAUACCACCCUGCCUUGUCUCAAUGCCUAGCCAGAAAUAACAAUGCAUUAUUCAUGUCCUGCCUUCUAGGCCACAGACACAAGUCAACGUUGUCUUUCUUAUUCAUUGAAAACGUCUCACGUGACGAAUCCUUAAACCAAUGGGUUCCCACUGUUCGUCUAUUCUCGUGUUGUUGUUCUGCAUUAUUUCCUGAGGAGAUGGAGAGGACAGGAAGGAGUGUUUCUGAGGAGGUGGAGAGGACAGGAAGGAGGGUUCCUGAGGAGAUGGAGGGGACAGGAAGGAGUGUUUCUGAGGAGAUGGAGAGGACAGGAAGGAGGGUUUCUGAGGAGAUGGAGGGGACAGGAAGGAGGGUUCCUGAGGAGAUGGAGGGGACAGGAAGGAGGGUUUCUGAGGAGAUGGAGGGGACAGGAAGGAGGGUUUCUGAGGAGAUGGAGGGGACAGGAAGGAGGGUUUCUGAGGAGGUGGAGGGGACAGGAAGGAGGGUUCCUGAGGAGAUGGAGGGGACAGGAAGGAGGGUUCCUGAGGAGAUGGAGGGGACAGGAAGGAGGGUUUCUGAGGAGAUGGAGGGGACAGGAAGGAGGGUUCCUGAGGAGGUGGAGGGGACAGGAAGGAGGGUUUCCAAAAAAGUGUUUAUCCCCAAGACGUUUGGUAAAAGUAUGAAUUAUAACGAGUGUAUCGGAUGGAAAAUACUGUAGGGACAAACAGUACUUAACUCACAAAAGCAAUGAUUUCCUCAUACUGAUAAAAAAAAAUAACAAAAUGUUUUGAAUGUUUUUUCUUCAUAUCUGAGAUACAAUGAAGCAAAGAAUGAAAGAAAUCAUUCCUAUCUAUAUAUCCUCUGUUCCCACUUCACUGUCAACCGGUCAACACAGACCCAGGUAGUGAAGAAUGAGGCAGAUGUAGAGAGAUCCAUUGCCUUUGUUACCAGGCUGUUUAAUACCGUCCUCGGCUCCAGAGGACCCUGGUUGCACUGAACAGAACAAUUAAACGGAGGCCGCGUUACAGCCUGUCACACCCUGAC
Oncorhynchus tshawytscha (Chinook salmon) is the source of this 1323-nucleotide long non-coding RNA. NCBI's taxonomy places the organism in Eukaryota, Metazoa, Chordata, Actinopteri, Salmoniformes, Salmonidae. The record is from Ensembl.